This is a long non-coding RNA of Ostrinia furnacalis (Asian corn borer), 463 nucleotides long. RefSeq lists it as uncharacterized. The record is from RefSeq and is a predicted model, not a curated record. NCBI's taxonomy places the organism in Eukaryota, Metazoa, Arthropoda, Insecta, Lepidoptera, Crambidae. The transcript is spliced from 2 exons.
GCCUCGUGGACUGGAAGACGUUUCUCGCUACCCGGAGCUGUUCGCCGAACUGCUGCGAAGCGGUCAGUGGAGCGUACAAGAGCUGAAGAACUUGGCUGGACUCAACAUGCUGCGGGUGAUGCGUCAGGUGGAAAAGGUCCGCGACGAGAUGCGCACCAACGGCGUGGAGCCCGAGGAGCACCCCGACUCGCCCAGCGACAACGGGAACUGCACCAGCAACGCUUUCUACACUGAAUAUGUUUAAACACAUGCGCUUACGCAUGUCUGCCAAAAACAGAAGUACGUGGAAUGAAUUUUAUGUAUUAUGGUGCGAGCGUCAUCAACAAUGAUGCAGAGGUAUUUCAGCUCUGAAUAAUAUUUAGCAACCAUUUUUACACCCUGAAAGCGAAAUGCCGGCAGCUAACAGGCUAGAGCAAUUAAGACCGUGCGCAAAUUAAUCACAACGGCACCUGUCGUUUUUAAA